AGCUUGUCCUUUUCCACCCGGAAUUUCUCUAGCAGCUGCCGCCGGGUCACAGUGAAGAUGGAGCGGAGAAGGCUUCGCCCAAAGAUGCUUCUCAAACGGGGGACUGCCCAGGGAGCCCUCCACCACUGGCCGGGUCAUCUGCAGGAUGCAUUUCCGCAGAAGCUGGAGGAAGAGGAAGAAGGAGGGGCAGAGGUCAGCAGAGCUCAGAGCUGCCGACUCCCUAGCCUUGUCUACCGUGCUCAUCCACACUCACUUGGACAAAGCUCACCUUGAAGAGGUAGAAAUACACCUG
Long non-coding RNA from Neofelis nebulosa (Clouded leopard), 292 nucleotides. RefSeq lists it as uncharacterized. The transcript has 2 exons. NCBI's taxonomy places the organism in Eukaryota, Metazoa, Chordata, Mammalia, Carnivora, Felidae. The record is from RefSeq and is a predicted model, not a curated record.